GGAUAACAAUAAAGCAGGUAGGGAGAGAGUAAUGAGGGAAAGUUGUUUUAGAUGGGGUUAUUAGGGAUGAACUUUCUAAGGAUUUUGGCAAAAUUGGAAGAAAGAGAAUGUGUCAUCUGAUUUCCUGAGGGAAGAGCAUCCCCAUCAGUUUUAAAAACAAGUUUAAAAAAAUGCCUGAAGUAGUAAUUCAUGUUUUUUAUUUUUGCUUAAUAUUUCUUCUUUUCCUCCCUUCCAGGCACAUGGAAUGUAGUUUCUGGCCCUUUUGUGUUGUGAUGGGUCUUACGGCAAAUUCUGUCCAACAAAUCGUGGAAAGAAAUAAUGUGUGUCACUUCUGGAUUGAAGCAUUUACUUGUCAGCUGGAAAACAUGUAAACAUCUCCUGCCAUCUCAGUAUCAUGAAAAACUCAGCUGUUUCUGCCCCCGCAGAGUCUUCGCCGACAGCAGACCUACAUCUCUAUCCACCCAUAUCCAGAGGAACAACCAUCCCUCAGGUACAGAAGUUGCUAUGUUACUCUGUUCAACGAGGCAGCACUUGCUCUUCUCUGGAAAUCAGUUUAUCAAGCCUUUAUUCUAUCUACUCUCUUCCAUUAUCCUGCUAGGAAAAGAUGUUCACUUAAUCCGUUUUGUUGAUGUUGCUCUUAGUAUGAUUCAUAAAGGUUCCUUGGUUAUUCCCCAUAUAAACUAGAAUCGGAAGCCAGAGACCAUUCAUGUUUGACCUUAAAUUUGUAUUCAUAGUUUUAUAUUAUUUUUCACAAAAUUUCCCCCAAAUUAAAUAAGCUGUAGGGCUCUAAUAACUACGUCUCUCUUGAAAGAGUUAAAACACUUCAUUCACAGUGCAAUUAAAAAAAAAAAUUAGGAGCUCUUGGAUGGCUCACUCACUAACAGCAUCCAACCCUUGAUCUCAACUCAGGUCUUGAUCUCUGGGUUCUGAGUUUAAGUUAAAACAUUUAAACAUUUUAAAAAAAUGUUUAAGUAAUCUCUACCUCCAGCAUAGGGUUCAAACUCACAACCCCAAGAUCAAGAGUUACAUGCUCUACUGACCGAGGUAGCCAGGUGCCCCCACAGUGCAAUUUUUUAAAUCAAGGAGACGUUAAGACA
Molecule: long non-coding RNA, 1097 nt
Filed under: Canis lupus familiaris (dog)
Lineage: Eukaryota; Metazoa; Chordata; Mammalia; Carnivora; Canidae
Description: lncRNA (ENSCAFG00000053012.1)
Source: RNAcentral